Molecule: ribosomal RNA, 594 nt
Filed under: uncultured bacterium
Lineage: Bacteria
Description: bacterial SSU rRNA
Rfam family: Bacterial small subunit ribosomal RNA
Source: RNAcentral
GCAAGUCGAGCGGAAACGAAGAGGUGCUUGCACCUCUGGCGUCGAGCGGCGGACGGGUGAGUAAUGCUUGGGAAUAUGCCUUAUGGUGGGGGACAACAGUUGGAAACGACUGCUAAUACCGCAUGAUGUCUACGGACCAAAGUGGGGGACCUUCGGGCCUCACGCCAUAAGAUUAGCCCAAGUGGGAUUAGCUAGUUGGUGAGGUAAUGGCUCACCAAGGCGACGAUCCCUAGCUGGUUUGAGAGGAUGAUCAGCCACACUGGGACUGAGACACGGCCCAGACUCCUACGGGAGGCAGCAGUGGGGAAUAUUGCACAAUGGGCGCAAGCCUGAUGCAGCCAUGCCGCGUGUGAAGAAGGCCUUCGGGUUGUAAAGCACUUUCAGUAAGGAGGAAAGGUUAAGUGUUAAUAGCACUUAGCUGUGACGUUACUUACAGAAGAAGCACCGGCUAACUCCGUGCCAGCAGCCGCGGUAAUACGGAGGGUGCGAGCGUUAAUCGGAAUUACUGGGCGUAAAGCGUACGCAGGCGGUUUGUUAAGCGAGAUGUGAAAGCCCCGGGCUCAACCUGGGAACUGCAUUUCGAACUGGCAAACU